UACGGGAGGCAGCAGUGGGGAAUAUUGCACAAUGGGCGAAAGCCUGAUGCAGCUAUGCCGCGUGUAUGAAGAAGGCCUUAGGGUUGUAAAGUACUUUCAUCGGGGAGGAAAAAACAAAACUAAUAAUUUUAUUUCUUGACGUUACCCGAAAAAGAAGCACCGGCUAACUCCGUGCCAGCAGCCGCGGUAAUACGGAGGGUGCUAGCGUUAAUCAGAAUUACUGGGCGUAAAGAGCACGUAGGUGGUUUUUUUAAGUCAGAUGUGAAAUCCCUGGGCUUAACCUAGGAACUGCAUUUUGAAACUGAAAUACUAGAGUAUCGUAGAGGGAGGUAGAAUUCUAGGUGUAGCGGUGAAAUGCGUAGAUAUCUGGAGGAAUACCUGUGGCGAAAGCGGCCUCCUAAACGAAUACUGACACUGAGGUGCGAAAGCGUGGGGAGCAAAACGAGGGAUUAGGAUACC
RNAcentral lists this ribosomal RNA (459 nucleotides) under uncultured bacterium. RNAcentral describes it as "bacterial SSU rRNA". It matches the Rfam family "Bacterial small subunit ribosomal RNA", at positions 340 to 786 of the family's 1533-position model. The record is from RNAcentral.